Long non-coding RNA from Zophobas morio, 392 nucleotides. RefSeq lists it as uncharacterized. Lineage: Eukaryota; Metazoa; Arthropoda; Insecta; Coleoptera; Tenebrionidae. The record is from RefSeq and is a predicted model, not a curated record. The transcript has 4 exons.
AAAAGGGGCCUUUUUUCAAGCUGGGAGACAAGCAAUUUACCCACCUCAUGCGUAUUUUUUUAUUGAUUCUGCCAGGGAAAAAAAAAGCCAUUUCUUUCCAUGACAUGGAAGGGUUGUCAAGUUUUAAUUCUUGAAGUCUUAUAUCGUCCUUUUUCGUAUAUACGAAUUAACGCCCAUCUUUUUUUGCACUCGUUGAUGGUCUUAUCAACGGUUUUAGAUACUAGUUCCCAAUUAAAUCCGUGCACGUAAAUGGUUUUUUUUAAGUUGACAUCCUAAUUACUGUAGGUCCAUCCUGGCGCGGAUUUUUCUGCUGUUGUUAUUUUAUUAUAAAACGACAUAUUAUGGGACUUUCAAGGGCGGAAUUGUGCAAGAACUUUGAAGAGCGUCCAGGU